GCUGCGUUGUAAGCGUAUCACUUAAAGACUACACCCCCUUCACCCCAUAGAGCAAUUAGUACAGUCAAAAAAAUUGCCUUGGACAGCCAUUAGUUUUCCAAAAGAAUUGACUUUAAUGAGAUUCUUUCAUCAGGCUUGCAGACAUACAGUGAAAUGGUAGAGAGGAAAAAAACAAUUAUUUAAUUGUAGGCUAAGUGUUGAGAUCAUGGGCCUACAUUACAGAGGCUUCCAUUUCCACGGGCCUAAUAGGUUCAAUAACUUAUAUGUGCCCAUAAGGCAACCCUUCUCUGUGUGGUGCCAAAUGUUUAUUUAGCCAGAGUAGAAACAGAUUAGAAAGUACAAAUCACAUCUUUGGCUAUUAAUAUUACAAACAUCAUUUCAAAUCCACUCAAAUGCAUCCCUCCUAUUAAAGAAUAUGUUUUAAUAAGAAUCUCAUGAAUUAAACAAACUGCAGGCUCACAGAGUGAUCAGUAGAAAACGAGCUAUAAUGAAAAUGUCCAUGAUGGCUCACUGUGGUGUGAACCAUGUCAGACAGCACUUAUCAAAAGCAGUCAAACGUCAACAUUAAUAUUCCACCUAUUUCGACGCUUCUUUCCACCUCAUUAACACUUACAUUAUUAGAUGAAAUCACAAGCUGCAUAAAUACCAGGAGCACCUGAUAUCUAGGUUAAAACCAAUGCUAGAAUUCUACCCAACACAAAGGUACAAUUGUAUAAUCUCCACAUUAGCUAGUUUUACUCUAAGCUGCAGCCAGAAGUGCUACACUUGACACUGUGUGCCUAAUAGCAGUUAUUGACCCUACGUGGUAUUUUGCGAACAUGUCUUGCUUAGGAAGGUGGCGGGUGGUGUUGUGCCUGGGCUGAGCCCUCCGUCUGGAAGUGUUUCCCUGCGGUACCGCAGUAAUUACACAUGUACGUGUGAUUUUCUACAGAGGGGAGAGCGAAUAAAAAUAAUAAAGCAAGCAGAGAGCAGGAGGAGGAGAAGAAGAAGAGGAGCAGGAGGAGGAGGUCAGGCAAAACCAUGAUGGGUGGUGUAGCGUAUCCACGGCAACCGUGACAGGCAAUCAUAGCUUGCUUUUCACAGAGGAUCCUGCCGAGAGAAGAGGAACAGAGAUUUAAAGCACACAGAUUAAUCGUCCCUUUUCAUCUAAUUAUCAUCCCUGCCAGUGCCAUUAUCGUCACGACCAUCAGCUCAGGUGAGAAUCUCAGGUACGCCCUCACUCCCCCCCUUAAGAAUGGCAGCAUUAGGAUUUCUAAGCCUUCUGAGGACUGGUUAAUGGACGCGUCUAUUGGUCCAGAAGAAUUACAAAAAUUACAGUGUUAUUAUGACAAUUAUUAGUCUACAUUUACAGAUAGGAAUUAGUCCAACAUUCACAGAUGGACAAAUCAGUUUUAUGGUGUAAUUAGACACAGUGCAUUGCAGUGCUAAUAUGUCGACACAGAGGGUAGAUUGUUAGAUGGGAAGACGGAUUUUGACAGAUGACGUGCUGUCGUUCUAACACAGGUUAGAGUCAAGUAAGACUAACUACGAGCACUAUGCUUUUGAACAAACAGGACAAAACAACACAGAAGCACUAGAGCACGCCAUGCCUUUUACCUGUCCAUCAGUGGGGCU
Clupea harengus (Atlantic herring) is the source of this 1614-nucleotide long non-coding RNA. Lineage: Eukaryota; Metazoa; Chordata; Actinopteri; Clupeiformes; Clupeidae. The record is from Ensembl.